GGUUGCGAUAAACUUUGCCUCAGGUCAUUUGAUACCAAAACUAGGAAAUUAGAUCCCUUCAUAACUACUACCUUAGAGUUUAAGCCGAGUAGAACAGUUGUGUCUGCUUAUGACAGACUCUAUUUUCUUGAAAAUGCAUCGCCCUUCGAAGCAGAUCCACUUCCAUCCUUUGCGAAAUACAAUCCUGAUAAGAAAAAUUGGGAGCGAAUGCCUGAGUUUCCAUUCAGUUAUCCUUUUCCUAGGAGGGUAACUGGUUAUGCUGUUUGUCAUGGCAUUAUUUUGUAUACAUUGUUUGACGGACGCAAAAGCUCUAAUGUGGUUGCUUUUCACGUGGGUAAAGAGAUUUGGAAUAAAGUGGAAGUUGACACUCAUGAUUAUACUCCUUUCCGAGGGAGGGCCGUGGUUGUAGGCAAGACCAUCUACGCCAUGAAUCUGUUUGAGGUGGAUGAGAUUAUAGCAUUCUCCUUGAAGAUGAACAAACACGACGACGGUAGUAUUGCAUACUCACUAAUCAAGCUGUGUAAAUUGGAUGGCUUGAAGAUUGCAUCUCCGCCAUGUCCAUUUGAGGUGCUUAAGAAUGACUAUUUUGUGCAUUUGGGGAACCAUGACUUCUUUCAUGUUACGACGGGCAAUAAUUUUGAAUUUUACAAGGUUCAACAUCUUUGCAUCACCACGUUUCAAAUAUUUGUUCGAGAAGACGGAAGACAUAUGAUCGAGACCUUACAUUCAACAGUUCUUACAAUGGAUAUCGAGGCUUGUGGUCCGUUGAUGGUCACGUUUGGCUUCACACCGUAAAGAGUGUGAGGAUUAUGAACCCAUAGAAGGGGAGGGUGCAGCUAGCAUGGAGCAUCCAAAACAAGAAGACGAAACCACUAUGGAUGUGAAUUCUUUGAUGUGGGAGAGAAACCAAGGAGGAAAUAGCGCACAUGCAGCAUGAAAAGUCCUGAGGCAGCUUGAAAAAGCCAACCAGAAAAAACCUGACUGCAAACGGAAAAAGAAGAUGAAUAAAAAAAUAAGAAGCGGAUGGAAGGAGGGACAUGUAGUAGAAAACAACAUGUAAUGUAAGUAGUUGAGGAGCAGGGAAUCCGUCUUUGAUAAGAUAUUAUUGAGGUCUUUUACUGCCAUCUAGCCCCUUGGUGUUACAGGGUUAAAAUAUGUUAUUGAUUGUUAUCUUUAUCUGAUAGUUGAUAUGAUACAUUUGAUUUGAUCUCUCC
Molecule: non-coding RNA, 1214 nt
Organism: Prunus mume (Japanese apricot)
Lineage: Eukaryota; Viridiplantae; Streptophyta; Magnoliopsida; Rosales; Rosaceae
Source: RefSeq, a predicted model, not a curated record